Panicum virgatum (switchgrass) is the source of this 561-nucleotide long non-coding RNA. RefSeq lists it as uncharacterized. The transcript has 2 exons. The record is from RefSeq and is a predicted model, not a curated record. Lineage: Eukaryota; Viridiplantae; Streptophyta; Magnoliopsida; Poales; Poaceae.
CACCAACGUAAGCAUCCUUUUGGCCCAUGCCUACCAUGACACCAGUAUAUGGCGUGGUCUUCCCACAAUGCUAGGGAAGGGAAGACAGCUCUUGAUGCAUCAUCACCGGCGAAACCUGCCUGUAAAUAUUAUAAGGAGGCAUUGGAGGAACGCAAUGACCAUCUACAGAAAUGGAGACAAUCUCAGAGCUAGAGUAAGUCGAUGCAAAGAUCAAAUACCAAAGAGAAGAAACAUGGGACAUUAUAUCCAAAUUAUAUCAAGCACAAACAUGGGGCACUAUAAACCUGCAAGGAUCAGAGAGAUGCCACCAGCAUUUUCAGAAUGACAACACUCUGCGCAUAAAAACUAAAAAUUUAGUAAGUAGAUCAAGUCCACAUAUUCAGGGAGCCUAUUUUGCAGCUUGCUAGGUUAGUGAAGGCUAAAUAUCUAAGAUCACUAUGCUCAUACUUACAUUCCGUUAUUGUGUAUUUAUUGUACUGCAUCAACCAUCGUUGUAAUGUGUUACUAAUCAUAUUGACGUGUUAUUAUCUCUGAUCAAAGUUUGCAGUUUGACAACUCAAA